RNAcentral lists this unclassified non-coding RNA (578 nucleotides) under Hevea brasiliensis (rubber tree). The record is from RNAcentral. Lineage: Eukaryota; Viridiplantae; Streptophyta; Magnoliopsida; Malpighiales; Euphorbiaceae.
CUCUUUCCCAACUAUAGCCCAUUCAUUGUCCUCACCAUACCUUGGAUAAGCAUUGUGGCGCACCCUUUCAUACUUCAUCAUCUACCUUAACGCCAUAUUCUAUGCCUCGAACAAAGCUCUUAGCACUUGGACACCAAUUCGAUCCUUGAUUGCAAGCCUCAAUCCUUCCAAAUACUUUGCAACUUGUUGCCCCUAGGAUUCAUGAAGAUUAUUUCUCGACUUAUCUCAUGAACUUAGCUGUGUACUCAAGGACUGGUCAGUUUCGUUUUUGACACCGUUAGUACUUUUGGAAGAGAAUCUGUUCAUAAUCCAGUGGUAAGAAUUCUUGUUGCAAUAGGUACUUCAUCCUAUACCACGUAUGAACCAAACCCUUUCCUUCUCUCUCUCUUUUAGGUUGCAAACUUUCCCGCCAAGCGGAAGCACCACCUUUGAGCCAACAUGUGACUACUUUGACUCGUCUUUCCGGUGCUGUCUCCAUGUAGUCAAUGAAUCUCUUUACAUCCACCAUCCAAUCCAAGAAUAUCUCAAUAUUUAAAUCCCACUGAAGUUGGAAAUAUCGACCUCUAAUUUGAAUUUUG